ACGCUGGCGGCAGGCCUAACACAUGCAAGUCGAGCGGUAGAGAGGAGCUUGCUUCUCUUGAGAGCGGCGGACGGGUGAGUAAUGCCUAGGAAUCUGCCUGGUAGUGGGGGAUAACGUUCGGAAACGGACGCUAAUACCGCAUACGUCCUACGGGAGAAAGCAGGGGACCUUCGGGCCUUGCGCUAUCAGAUGAGCCUAGGUCGGAUUAGCUAGUUGGUGAGGUAAUGGCUCACCAAGGCGACGAUCCGUAACUGGUCUGAGAGGAUGAUCAGUCACACCGGAACUGAGACACGGUCCAGACUCCUACGGGAGGCAGCAGUGGGGAAUAUUGGACAAUGGGCGAAAGCCUGAUCCAGCCAUGCCGCGUGUGUGAAGAAGGUCUUCGGGAUUGUAAAGCACUUUAAGUUGGGAGGAAGGGCAGUUACCUAAUACGUGAUUGUUUUGACGUUACCGACAGAAUAAGCACCGGCUAACUCUGUGCCAGCAGCCGCGGUAAUACAGAGGGUGCAAGCGUUAAUCGGAAUUACUGGGCGUAAAGCGCGCGUAGGUGGUUUGUUAAGUUGGAUGUGAAAUCCCCGGGCUCAACCUGGGAACUGCAUUCAAAACUGACUGACUAGAGUAUGGUAGAGGGUGGUGGAAUUUCCUGUGUAGCGGUGAAAUGCGUAGAUAUAGGAAGGAACACCAGUGGCGAAGGCGACCACCUGGACUGAUACUGACACUGAGGUGCGAAAGCGUGGGGAGCAAAC
This 746-nucleotide ribosomal RNA is filed under the name uncultured bacterium. RNAcentral's name for it is "bacterial SSU rRNA". It matches the Rfam family "Bacterial small subunit ribosomal RNA", at positions 33 to 773 of the family's 1533-position model. The record is from RNAcentral.